AAAAGGAGAGAAUAGGGGUAGGCAGUUAGGUGGUUAAUGAAAGGAGAGAGAGAAAAGGAGAGAAGAAGAGAGAAGAGGAGAGAAUAGGGGUAGGCAGUUAGGUGGUUAAUGAAAGGAUAGAGAGAAGAGGAGAGAAGAAGAGAGAAGAGGAGAGAAUAGGGGUAGGCAGUUAGGUGGUUAAUGAAAGGAGAGAGAGAAAAGGAGAGAAGAAGAGAGAAGAGGAGAGAAUAGGGGUAGGCAGUUAGGUGGUUAAUGAAAGGAUAGAGAGAAAAGGAGAGAAGAAGAGAGAAGAGGAGAGAAUAGGGGUAGGCAGU
Molecule: long non-coding RNA, 314 nt
Organism: Oncorhynchus keta (chum salmon)
Lineage: Eukaryota; Metazoa; Chordata; Actinopteri; Salmoniformes; Salmonidae
Exons: 3
Source: RefSeq, a predicted model, not a curated record